RNAcentral lists this microRNA (23 nucleotides) under Eptesicus fuscus (big brown bat). RNAcentral's name for it is "efu-miR-9324". The record is from miRBase by way of RNAcentral. Lineage: Eukaryota; Metazoa; Chordata; Mammalia; Chiroptera; Vespertilionidae.
CUUGACCAAAGAAUAGACCUCCU